Non-coding RNA from Paramuricea clavata, 79 nucleotides. Lineage: Eukaryota; Metazoa; Cnidaria; Anthozoa; Malacalcyonacea; Plexauridae. The record is from the annotation of a GenBank genome assembly.
UUCGCAUCCGAUCUUCAUCUGAUAUACAAACACUCGCCUUCGGCUAGAGUUUGUAUAUCAGAUAAAGAUCGGCUGCGAA